Molecule: ribosomal RNA, 254 nt
Filed under: Candidatus Methylopumilus sp.
Lineage: Bacteria; Pseudomonadati; Pseudomonadota; Betaproteobacteria; Nitrosomonadales; Methylophilaceae
Description: partial 16S ribosomal RNA
Rfam family: Bacterial small subunit ribosomal RNA
Source: RNAcentral
UACGUAGGGUGCGAGCGUUAAUCGGAAUUACUGGGCGUAAAGCGUGCGCAGGCGGUUUUGUAAGUCGGAUGUGAAAUCCCCGGGCUCAACCUGGGAACUGCGUUCGAAACUGCAAGGCUAGAGUGUGUCAGAGGGGGGUAGAAUUCCACGUGUAGCAGUGAAAUGCGUAGAGAUGUGGAGGAAUACCAAUGGCGAAGGCAGCCCCCUGGGAUAACACUGACGCUCAUGCACGAAAGCGUGGGGAGCAAACAGGA